RNAcentral lists this transfer RNA (67 nucleotides) under Hemisquilla californiensis. RNAcentral describes it as "tRNA-Leu". Lineage: Eukaryota; Metazoa; Arthropoda; Malacostraca; Stomatopoda; Hemisquillidae. The record is from RNAcentral.
UCUAAAAUGGCAGACAAGUGCAAUGGAUUUAAGCUCCAUAUAUGAAGUGAAUUGCUUCUUUUAGAAC